UUUCAGUACGAAUUCCUUCUGCCCACCCUGUCUUCCUUUCUCUUAUUGUGUUCUCUCUCUCUCUCUCUCUCUCUCUCUCUCUUUCUCGUUUUUUCUCCAUUUCCCCCUUCCAUUUUUCUCUCCUCUUUUCCUAUCUUUUCUUCCUCUUCCUCUAUUCAUUCUCCUAUUUUCAACAAAGUCGAACUUGUUCGUCUGUCUUUAUCCUGGAUGCUUCGGGAUCUUGCCAUUUUGCUAGAAGAAAAACAUCUCUCGCUUUUUACCCGCAAUUAUCUCUUUGUCGGGUUUUCUUCUAUUUUAUAGAAAACUAUGAACUCACGAUCCUGAAAAUUAGGCGUCACUCUUCCGGAUUGGAAGGAGGCUUCUUUUUGUUUGAAAUAUACCCCGGGAUUCUGAACGAGUGGCAUCUGUAAUAACAACGUCCGUUCUUGCAGCUCUCCCUAUACGUAGCGUCGCUACGUGAACGCUACGUGAAAUGGAUUUCUGGAAGCCCGUUCAGGCUCUGAUUAACCACAUUUACGCGGGAACACUAAUCCCGACGAAAGAUCCAUUACCGAUAAUAGUUUCAUGGACAAAAAAUAUUUCCUUGAGAUUUAUUUUCCUGGAGAACCGGAAAUGAACGAAAAGAAAAUGAUAUCUAAAGAAGAAGCAUUUUUACAUACGAUGUAAUGACUCAUUACUA
This 679-nucleotide unclassified non-coding RNA is filed under the name Bombus terrestris (buff-tailed bumblebee). Its description in RNAcentral is "misc RNA ENSBTSG00005024342.1". Lineage: Eukaryota; Metazoa; Arthropoda; Insecta; Hymenoptera; Apidae. The record is from RNAcentral.